UGAUUUUCAUCACUACAUUGGUUAAUUAACAAAAGUAGGUAGUUCAAAGAAGUUAAUUUUGUUUAUAGCCUCAACUGUUUAAAGACGUCAUUGAGCGCUCAUCCUGAAAGCCUUGUGAUUUUAUGUUCAGGUGGCAAAUGACCUGCAUUAAUGUAACAGUGGAAACAUUCCAAUAUAUUAUUUAGGUUCUGAUAAUUAAACACUUGUUUGCAUUCUCCUUAAUGCCAUAGAGCUCUAAUGUACUGUGCAUUUGUUUUCUAUCCCCCUCGUCAAUUAUGCACUAGUACCAUACAGCGUAAACAAUUUUUUUCUACAGGAAGAAGUACUUCAGUAUCCCUAGUUCACAAAAAUUAGAACUGUUGGGCUGAACAGGCCAUUGAUUUGACCUCCUGCCUCAUUCUCCUCUUUAAGAUCACCGAGUGACUGAAGCUGAUGCUUGAAAAAGUGACCUCACUCCUUCCAAUUCCCAGUGACAGGUAAGCUGCCUUCCACACCUGAAUUUGUUCCUUCAGCUCAAACUGGUGCUGUUUGUACAUGACGUUGCAUUGGGUGGUGUAAACGUAACCAGAGAUACUGCAGAAGUUUUCCAGCUCCCGGCUUCCCAGAAGUUUCCUCUGACUUUUUACCCUGGCACACAGCCAGGCUGCUGUCCUGCCUGCCCCGUCCCGAGCUGUCUGCUGGGUUCCUGUGCCCUUAACUUCAGAGAUGGAGGUGGGAAGAGAAGAGAAUUUGAUUUUGUGGUUCGCCCAGUACAUUUUGCGUGCUUGUUUUUCUCACAGCUCAGUCCAUCUCUCUAUUCACAAACAUAAUAGAGAAGGGGGACAGAGAGGAGAAGAGGCAUUUAGGCUUCAGUCACUCCUACUGCUUAUGUGCUGA
Molecule: long non-coding RNA, 876 nt
Filed under: Anser brachyrhynchus (Pink-footed goose)
Lineage: Eukaryota; Metazoa; Chordata; Aves; Anseriformes; Anatidae
Description: lncRNA (ENSABRG00000010989.1)
Source: RNAcentral